AUGGCGACCGGCGCACGGGUGCGUAACGCGUAUGCAACCUACCUGUAACAGGGGGAUAACACUGAGAAAUCGGUACUAAUACCGCAUAACACUAUGAGAGGCAUCUCUUGUGGUUGAAAGUUUCGGCGGUUACAGAUGGGCAUGCGUUGUAUUAGCUGGUUGGUAAGGUAACGGCUUACCAAGGCGACGAUACAUAGGGGGACUGAGAGGUUAACCCCCCACAUUGGUACUGGGACACGGACCAAACUCCUACGGAAGGCAGCAG
RNAcentral lists this ribosomal RNA (265 nucleotides) under uncultured bacterium. RNAcentral describes it as "partial 16S ribosomal RNA". It matches the Rfam family "Bacterial small subunit ribosomal RNA", at positions 88 to 354 of the family's 1533-position model. The record is from RNAcentral.